RNAcentral lists this ribosomal RNA (1516 nucleotides) under uncultured rumen bacterium. RNAcentral's name for it is "bacterial SSU rRNA". It matches the Rfam family "Bacterial small subunit ribosomal RNA". The record is from RNAcentral.
AGAGUUUGAUCAUGGCUCAGGACGAACGCUGGCGGCGUGCCUAACACAUGCAAGUCGAACGAAAUUUAGGCAUAAGGUUUACCUUAUGUUGAAGAUUUAGUGGCGGACGGGUGAGUAACGCGUGAGCAAUCUACCUUGCAGAAGGGGAUAGCGGCUAGAAAUGGUCGAUAAUACCUAAUGACAUAUAUAUUUCGCAUGGAAGAUAUAUUAAAGGGAUUUGGUUAGCUAAGUUUGCUGCAAGAUGAGCUCGCGUCUGAUUAGAUAGUUGGUGGGGUAACGGCCUACCAAGUCAACGAUCGGUAGCCGGACUGAGAGGUUUGGACGGCCACAUUGGGGACUGAAAAUACGGCCCAGACUCCCUACGGGAGGCAGCAGUGGGGGGAUAUUGCCACAAUGGGGGAAACCCUGAUGCAGCGACGUUCGCGUGAGGGAAGGAAGGUCUUAGGAUUGGUAAACCCUCUGACUUUAAAGAAGAUGAUGACGGUAUUUUAAAGAAAUAGCUCCGGCUAACUACGUGCCAGCAGCCGCGGGUAAUACGUACGGAGCAAGCGUUGUCCGGAAUUACUGGGUAUAAAGGGAGAGUAGGCGGGUUUGCAAGUUAAAUGUGAAAUUUAUGAGCUCAACUCAUAAACUGCGUUUAAAACUGCAGAUCUUGAGUAAAGCAGAGGCAGGUGGAAUUCCUAGUGUAGCGGUGAAAUGCGUAGAUAUUAGGAGGAACACCAGUGGCGAAGGCGGCCUGCUGGGCUUUUACUGACGCUGAGGCUCGAAAGCAUGGGGAGCAAACAGGAUUAGAUACCCUGGUAGACCAUGCCGUAAACGAUGAUUACUAGGUGUAGGCGUGCAAACGUCUGUGCCGGAGUUAAUACAAUAAGUAAUCCACCUGGGGAGUACGACCGCAAGGUUAAAACUCAAAGGAAUUGACGGGGGCCCGCACAAGCAGUGGAGUAUGUGGUUUAAUUCGAAGCAACGCGAAGAACCUUACCGGGUUUUGACAUCCUGCUAACGAAGUAGAGAUACAUUAGGUGUCCAUGUUAUGCAUGGAAAAGCAGAGACAGGUGGUGCAUGGUUGUCGUCAGUUCGUGUCGUGAGAUGUUGGGUUAAGUCCCGGAACGAACGCAACCCUUGCCAAUAGUUACUACGAGAGAGGACUCUAUUGGUACUGCCGUUGAUAAGACGGAGGAAGGAGGGGAUGACGUCAAAUCAUCAUGCCCUUUAUGACCCGGGCUACACACGUACUACAAUGGUCGAUACAAAGGGAAGCGAGAUUGCGAGAUUUAGCAAAGCCCUAAAAUCGAUCUCAGUUCGGAUUGUAGGCUGCAACUCGCUUACAUGAAGCAGGAAUUGCUAGUAAUCGCAAAUCAGAAUGUUGCGGUGAAUACGUUCCCGGGCCUUGUACACACCGCCCGUCACACCACGAGAGUCGGCGAUACCCGAAGUCAGUAUGUCUGACCUUUUCAUAGGAGGACGCUGCCGAAGGUAGGGCUGGUGAUUGGGGUGAAGUCGUAACAAGGUAACC